AAACCAGGGCACUUGGAAUGUUUUGAGGGAGGCAGAUCUGUCCCCGUCAUGGAGCACUGACUACCAUCUUCCCUGAACUCUUACGUGAGGAAGAACAAACCUCUAAGGUUGUACAAGAAGCAUGGUACCAGCACCUGCUUCUGGUGAGGCCUCAGGCUGCUAUGAAGCAGAGUCAGCAUGUGCAGAGAUCGCUUGGCAAGAGAGGAAACAAGUAGGUGAGGAGAAGUGCCAGGCUCUUUGUAACAACCAGCUCCUGCAGGAACUGAAGAGUGAGAACACUCACCUCCACCCCACUGCGUUAAUCUAUUAAUAAGGCAUCCAUCCCCAUGACCCAAAUUAGGCCCCACCUCUAACAUUGGAAGUCAAAUUUUAGCAUG
Molecule: long non-coding RNA, 377 nt
Filed under: Homo sapiens (human)
Lineage: Eukaryota; Metazoa; Chordata; Mammalia; Primates; Hominidae
Description: HSALNT0081056
Source: RNAcentral